Molecule: ribosomal RNA, 253 nt
Filed under: uncultured bacterium
Lineage: Bacteria
Description: partial 16S ribosomal RNA
Rfam family: Bacterial small subunit ribosomal RNA
Source: RNAcentral
UACGAAGGGGGCUAGCGUUGCUCGGAAUCACUGGGCGUAAAGCGCACGUAGGCGGACUCUUAAGUCAGGGGUGAAAUCCUGGAGCUCAACUCCAGAACUGCCUUUGAUACUGGGAGUCUUGAGUUCGGGAGAGGUGAGUGGAACUGCGAGUGUAGAGGUGAAAUUCGUAGAUAUUCGCGAGAACACCAGUGGCGAAGGCGGCUCACUGGCCCGAUACUGACGCUGAGGUGCGAAAGCGUGGGGAGCAAACAGG